RNAcentral lists this long non-coding RNA (428 nucleotides) under Cucumis sativus (cucumber). Its description in RNAcentral is "long non-coding RNA (CSAT_LNC002458)". Lineage: Eukaryota; Viridiplantae; Streptophyta; Magnoliopsida; Cucurbitales; Cucurbitaceae. The record is from RNAcentral.
AACCAAUGGCGAAACCACAACCCAGGGUCUUGAUGGCCUUGCCCAGCGCUGCCAAAAGUACUAUGAAGCUGGUGCUCGUUUUGCCAAAUGGCGUGCAGUGCUCAAGAUUGGUCCUAACGAACCCUCACAGUUGUCCAUUAAUGAAAAUGCCAAUGGAUUGGCCAGGUAUGCUAUCAUUUGCCAGGAGAAUGGUCUGGUACCUAUUGUGGAGCCUGAGAUCUUGGUUGAUGGUCCUCAUGACAUCAAGAAGUGCGCUGACGUAACUGAACGCGUUCUUGCUGCCUGUUACAAGGCUCUAAAUGACCACCACGUUCUCCUCGAAGGAACCUUGUUGAAGCCCAACAUGGUUACCCCUGGAUCUCAAUCUGCAAAGGUUGCACCAGAAGUGAUUGCAGAGCACACCGUCCUUGCCCUACAGCGAACUGUUC